UACCAGCCGGGGGAGCAGCGGGUCCCUGUACUCGAAGUCCGCUACAGCGAGGGUGGAUUCCCGUUCCGAGGGCGGAGCUUGUGCGGUCUGAAUCAUACGGAAUGUGUUGACGAAUGGGUCUUGCGCGAUUCGCGGCUGUGAACCAUGUCAGGUGGGGAACCAAGCAGCAUUAAGCAGUGCAGCGGAUGCGCCGCAAGGCAGCCUGUUCCGAGCAGGAAAUGUGAUGGCGCGUGCGAUC
Molecule: signal recognition particle RNA, 238 nt
Filed under: bovine gut metagenome
Also listed under: 1 other name
Description: Bacterial large signal recognition particle RNA
Rfam family: Bacterial large signal recognition particle RNA
About the family: The signal recognition particle (SRP) is a universally conserved ribonucleoprotein involved in the co-translational targeting of proteins to membranes. Archaeal SRP consists of a 7S RNA and homologues of the eukaryotic SRP19 and SRP54 proteins.
Source: RNAcentral